AUUGAACGCUGGCGGAAUGCUUUACACAUGCAAGUCGAGCGGCAGCGCGGGGCAACCUGGCGGCGAGCGGCGAACGGGUGAGUAAUACAUCGGAACGUGCCCAGACGUGGGGGAUAACUACUCGAAAGAGUAGCUAAUACCGCAUACGAUCUACGGAUGAAAGCGGGGGAUCGCAAGACCUCGCGCGUCUGGAGCGGCUGAUGGCAGAUUAGGUAGUUGGUGGGAUAAAAGCCUACCAAGCCAACGAUCUGUAGCUGGUCUGAGAGGAUGAUCAGCCACACUGGGACUGAGACACGGCCCAGACUCCUACGGGAGGCAGCAGUGGGGAAUUUUGGACAAUGGGCGAAAGCCUGAUCCAGCCAUGCCGCGUGAGUGAAGAAGGCC
Molecule: ribosomal RNA, 384 nt
Filed under: uncultured bacterium
Lineage: Bacteria
Description: bacterial SSU rRNA
Rfam family: Bacterial small subunit ribosomal RNA
Source: RNAcentral